Long non-coding RNA from Physella acuta, 389 nucleotides. RefSeq lists it as uncharacterized. NCBI's taxonomy places the organism in Eukaryota, Metazoa, Mollusca, Gastropoda, Physidae. The record is from RefSeq and is a predicted model, not a curated record.
UACAGAUAUCUGACGUGUCGAGGUGGCAUUGGCAGUGAAUACGUUAGAACGUCCAGCAUGAAGUUUCUCCUAGUAAUUCUGCUACUCUCAGCCUACUGUUUAGCUACGGCCAUGGCAGAAGUAACGUGUAACUGGAAUGGCCGUGUGUUGAAGCAAUCAGAAACAGUGAGCCCACAGGACUGUGUCGAGUGCUACUGUACUCUAUGGGGCUACAUGAGCUGUUCACAGAUGUGUUGAGACCACAUGAAAAUCUACACAUAACCUUUCUUAAACACAUGAAAAUUCACACAUGUUUUCUUAAACACAUGAAAAUCUACACACGUUUCCUAAAGUCAUCAAUGCUGAGUUGAAAGUUUCGAACUUACAGUCUAAUAAACAAACGAUUAGCU